UUCCCGAUAGCUCAGUCGGUAGAGCGCCGGACUGUUAAUCCGUAGGUCCCUGGUUCGAGCCCAGGUCGGGGAGCCA
RNAcentral lists this transfer RNA (76 nucleotides) under Ralstonia solanacearum. Its description in RNAcentral is "tRNA-Asn". It matches the Rfam family "tRNA". From Rfam's summary of the family: Transfer RNA (tRNA) molecules are approximately 80 nucleotides in length. Their secondary structure includes four short double-helical elements and three loops (D, anti-codon, and T loops). Further hydrogen bonds mediate the characteristic L-shaped molecular structure. tRNAs have two regions of fundamental functional importance: the anti-codon, which is responsible for specific mRNA codon recognition, and the 3' end, to which the tRNAs corresponding amino acid is attached (by aminoacyl-tRNA synthetases). tRNAs cope with the degeneracy of the genetic code in two manners: having more than one tRNA (with a specific anti-codon) for a particular amino acid; and 'wobble' base-pairing, i.e. permitting non-standard base-pairing at the 3rd anti-codon position. The record is from RNAcentral. Lineage: Bacteria; Pseudomonadati; Pseudomonadota; Betaproteobacteria; Burkholderiales; Burkholderiaceae. RNAcentral also lists the same sequence under 2 other names.